UUCUCAUUUUAAAAUCUCUUACUUUUUUGGUAGCUGGUGCUGAGAGAAGACCCUUGAUGGCAUCUUUGCCCUGGGACUUUACCAGUGGCAACUGUCACUCAAUGGGACAGAG
Molecule: small nucleolar RNA, 112 nt
Filed under: Otolemur garnettii (small-eared galago)
Lineage: Eukaryota; Metazoa; Chordata; Mammalia; Primates; Galagidae
Description: Small nucleolar RNA SNORA30/SNORA37 family (ENSOGAG00000033356.1)
Source: RNAcentral